AAACCAACAGGGAUUGCCCCAGUAACGGCGAGUGAAGCGGCAAAAGCUCAAAUUUGAAAUCUGGCUCCUCUUUGGGGUCCGAGUUGUAAUUUGCAGAGGAUGCUUUGGGUGCACCCGCGGCGUAAGUCCCUUGGAACAGGGCGUCAUAGAGGGUGAGAAUCCCGUCUUGAGUCGCUGGCGUGUGCCCGUGCAAAGCUCCUUCGACGAGUCGAGUUGUUUGGGAAUGCAGCUCUAAUUGGGUGGUAAAUUUCAUCUAAAGCUAAAUACUGGCCGGAGACCGAUAGCGAACAAGUAGAGUGAUCGAAAGGUUAAAAGCACCUUGAAAAGGGAGUUAAAUAGCACGUGAAAUUGUUGAAAGGGAAGCGCUUGCAGCCAGACUCGGGCGCGGAGGCUCAGCGGGCAUGUUUGCCCGUGUACUCCUUCGCGCCCGGGCCAGCAUCAGUUUUGGCGGCCGGUCAAAGGCCUCCGGGAUGUAUCGUCCUCCGGGACGUCUUAUAACCGGGGGUGCAAUGCGGCCAGCUGGGACUGAGGAACGCGCUUCGGCACGGAUGCUGGCGUAAUGGCUGUAAGCGGC
This 574-nucleotide ribosomal RNA is filed under the name Malbranchea chrysosporioidea. Its description in RNAcentral is "partial large subunit ribosomal RNA". It matches the Rfam family "Eukaryotic large subunit ribosomal RNA", at positions 62 to 648 of the family's 3401-position model. The record is from RNAcentral. Lineage: Eukaryota; Fungi; Ascomycota; Eurotiomycetes; Onygenales; Malbrancheaceae.